CUGUUUUGUUGUUGUUAUGACUUAUGACAUCCUAUAAUACUUUUCAAAUUUCAAGGUAUUUACCGGUUUCAGUAGUUUUCUUUUUCCUUUUUUCCGAUUGAAACCAUGAACGAUAUGGAAAUUGAGUUAGAUUUUAGGACAAUAAAGAUUGAUCUUCUGAAAGGGAUCUACAAUUGCUCGGAAAGAGGUCUUACACAGAGCCUGAAAUGGCUUACAGAACUGAAUUUUGCUGUAGAUCAGGUGGAAUUGAUGCCAGAAGAUAUUCCAGAUCUUCGUGAUGACUGCGGGGAUGAACAUGCCAGAUUUCUAAUGGCAAAAUCCUAUUUCAACUUAAAAGAGUAUGACAGAUGUGCUUAUUUUCUAAAAGACUGCGUAACACCAAAACCUCGUUUCCUAUACUUUUUUGCUAAAUAUUAUGCAAUAGAGAAGAAAAAAUUGGACAGUAUGACUGAUACAAACUGUCCUCCUGAUCCUUCAAAUAAUGAGUCCCUAAAAACCUUGUAUUCAGAGUUGAAAAAUGAUUUUUAUGAAAAUAAAUUGGAUGGUUACUGUUUAUAUCUUUAUGGAGUAGUCCUUAAAAAGUUAGAUUUAAAGUCUUUGGCGGUGGAUGCAUUAAUAAAAGCAGUACAAGAUGAGCCAAUGCUUUGGAGUGCAUGGUUUGAGCUAGGAAAAUUAACAUGCAUAAAAAAAACUGACACUACAGCAAUUUCAAACAAGCUUCCCGAUCAUUGGAUGAAAUACUUUUUUUGGGCACAUGCCUAUUUGGAGCAGCUGAAUAAUGAUGGGGCUUUGAGGAUAUAUGAAAGGUUUUGUGAUCUUGGACUGCAGAACAGUACCUAUAUCAUGUCACAAAUUGCAUUAGGACACCAUAAUAAUAGAGAACUGGAUGAUGCCAUAGAAAUGUUCACAAAAAUCCUAGUAGUGGACCCAUACAGGUUAGACAACCUGGACACAUAUUCAAAUCUUUUAUACGUCCUAGAGCGAAAAACCGAACUGGCCAACUUAGCCCACAAAGCAGUCGACAUUGAUAAGUACAGAGUAGAAACUUGUUGCGUUAUAGGUAACUACUAUAGUUUGAGAUCAGAUCAUGCAAAGGCUGUCCUGUACUUUAAACGCGCUUUAAAGCUAAAUCCUCAGUUUUUGUCAGCGUGGACCCUGAUGGGUCAUGAGUACAUGGAAAUGAAAAACACUAAUGCAGCUAUUGAGAGUUAUCGACGUGCCAUAGAGAUAAAUGAAAGGGAUUAUAGAGCUUGGUACGGUUUAGGACAGACCUACGAAAUUUUAAAAAUGCCCUCCUACUGUUUGUAUUACUACAAACGUGCUCAGGAACUGAAGCCCAACGACAGCAGGAUGUUGAUCGCGAUGGGUGAAACCUACGAGAAACUUAACAAACCAGAAAACGCGUUAAAAUGUUAUUACAAGGCGUAUAAAGUGGGCGAUGUCGAAGGAUUGGUACUAGUUAAAUUAGCAAAACUUUAUGAUAAACUAGACGAUAAGGAAAAUGCCGCCGCUGUUUUACUUGAAUUUUGUCUAAACGAAAUCGAUAAGGGAGACAAUUUGUCUGAAGAGAGGACCGAAUAUUAUAAUUCCUUGCUCUAUUUGGCCAAUUAUUUCUUUGGAAAGGGCGAUUUUAAUGAGGCCUAUACGUAUUCUUAUAAAUGUAUGGAAUCUGAGGAGACAAAAGAGCAAGCAAAAGCCCUCCUAAAAGCCAUAGCGGCCAAAAGGGCGGAACAAGGUCAAGAGAUGGAGGGUCACGACGCCACUUUCGACCCUGAGAUGACCAAUAACCAAUCAAAUAAUGAUGCAAGCGACAUGGAUUUGACCACUUAAUAUUGUCCAUUAUGGGCCUUACAUAUCCAUACUCAUUUUUACACCAGUCUUUUCUUCUACCGCAUUCCACCAGUUACUACCCAACACGAAUAUCAUCCAAAAAAUAAAAAUCACCAAAGUAAGUCCCAUUACGAUUUUUAGUGGUUGCGAUUCGUGGCUUCUAAGAUGUUCCAGUUGUUCGGUUUUCGGGAUGUUCUUCCAAUUUUUUUUCCAGCUCUUUUACUUGUUCUUCGAUUUCUCGACAUCGGUCCUCGGCAUAAGAAAUCUACGAAAAAGAUGUACGAUGUAAAAUUUUAUUAAUUAGUAGUACUAAAUAA
Molecule: unclassified non-coding RNA, 2147 nt
Filed under: Anthonomus grandis grandis
Lineage: Eukaryota; Metazoa; Arthropoda; Insecta; Coleoptera; Curculionidae
Description: cell division cycle protein 23 homolog
Source: RNAcentral